GGAAAAAGAUUAAAUAGCUAAACGAAAACUAAAUAACAUAACCUAAAAAUGCAAAUAAAACACAAAAUAAAUACUAAAUUACAGCAAAGUGUUUAAUAAUAGUAGGCUUAUCUUUUAAGGUAUUGGGCAACAUAUAACCAAUUCUAAAUAUUGAUAAAAUCCCUCUCUUAUGGAACUGUUGAAAAGGUUUUUAACACAUCAUGCCUGCCAUCUUCUAAGGCUAUCAUUUUCACUUAUACAUGUAUUUUUGUUUUUGUUUUAACUUUAAAGUUUGACACUUCCCCUUUUCUCUUCAUGGUGCCUAUUAAUUUCUUGUCUUUC
Molecule: unclassified non-coding RNA, 321 nt
Filed under: Hevea brasiliensis (rubber tree)
Lineage: Eukaryota; Viridiplantae; Streptophyta; Magnoliopsida; Malpighiales; Euphorbiaceae
Source: RNAcentral